AAGCAUAAAUGAAAACUCAUGAUCAAAUUCAAUCUUUUCUUUAACUCGCAAACGACCACAUAAACUGUCUGUUGCGUUGGAAACCAAUUCUGUACCAUCAACCC
Small nuclear RNA from Arabidopsis thaliana (thale cress), 104 nucleotides. The record is from RefSeq. Lineage: Eukaryota; Viridiplantae; Streptophyta; Magnoliopsida; Brassicales; Brassicaceae.